CAGCCGCCACGGUAAUACGUAGGUGGCAAGCGUUGUCCGGAAUUAUUGGGCGUAAAGGGCUCGCAGGCGGUUUCUUAAGUCUGAUGUGAGAGCCCCCGGCUCAACCGGGGAGGGUCAUUGGAAACUGGGAAACUUGAGUGCAGAAGAGGAGAGUGGAAUUCCACGUGUAGCGGUGAAAUGCGUAGAGAUGUGGAGGAACACCAGUGGCGAAGGCGACUCUCUGGUCUGUAACUGACGCUGAGGAGCGAAAGCGUGGGGAGCGAACAGGAUUAGAUACCCCAGUAGUCCCUGUCUCUUAUAC
Molecule: ribosomal RNA, 301 nt
Filed under: uncultured bacterium
Lineage: Bacteria
Description: partial 16S ribosomal RNA
Rfam family: Bacterial small subunit ribosomal RNA
Source: RNAcentral